AACGAACGCUGGCGGCGUGGCUAAGACAUGCAAGUCGCACGGAUCGUGUAGCAAUAUACGGUUAGUGGCGAAAGGGAGAGUAAUGCAUAGGUAACGUACCUUGGACACAGGGAUAACAGCGGGUCCGCAAGGAUCCUUUGCGAAAGUGCUGCUAAUACCUGAUGAAGUCGUUGAGCCGCAUGGUUCGACGAUCAAAGGGGCGGGGCAACCUGCCGGUCUGGGAGCGGCCUAUGUCCUAUCACCUAGUUGGUGAGGUAACGGCUCACCAAGGGGAUCGGACGGGUAGCGGGUGUGAGAGCAUGACCCGCUCAUCGGGACUGAGACACUGCCCGGACACCUACGGGUGCCUGCAAGUAACGAAUAUUGGGCAAUGGGCGAAAGCCUGACCCAGCGACGCCGCGUGCAGGAGGAA
RNAcentral lists this ribosomal RNA (412 nucleotides) under uncultured bacterium. RNAcentral describes it as "bacterial SSU rRNA". It matches the Rfam family "Bacterial small subunit ribosomal RNA", at positions 29 to 412 of the family's 1533-position model. The record is from RNAcentral.